AUGUGCGUCAUCUGUUCUGUGCCUGCGCUCUUCCUGUUUACCGGCAUUCAACAGAGGUCUGUGGUUAAAACACAGCCGUUUGGGCAUUUUAACACCGCUUGUGUCAUUUUGUGGGGCUUUGCGUACACUGGAGAGUCUAUUGUAAACAACCGUUACGUGCGGUCUGGCUCGUUACACUGCCUAGUCCCAGUGGGGACAUCCAAUAUAUGCUGUUUGGCAUCUACUUCAUUUCUAUCCCGUGGAUACUGACGUCAGCUCUGCUUUCUGGUGUGGCAAACGGCUGCGUUAUUUGGUAUGUGUGUUUAUAUUUCCGAUUGCUGUUCAUAAACUAUAACUAGUUUACUAAUCGUCUUCUUAUCUGUUAGGGGCUAAUACUGUGCGUGCUGCAUUUCCCUACUACAUAUAGAAGCACGCUGCUGUUUUUGUUCCUGCUGGAUUUGCUUUCGUUUCUUUUCUGUAUAUUUUUUUGUUGUGUUUUCAUCAUUUUGUCCUGGGUGAUUUAGCGGCCCGAUUUUUGGAGUUGUUGGUUAAAACCUGCUCCUACUGUGACUGUAUUUUAAAGAUCUUUUCCUCGUACGUUGGGAAAUAACGAGUUCAAGGGCCGCGCUCAUUCAGAUAUUUAUUUCUUCAUUUUCCCUUUGUGGUGUUUCUCAUUUUGGACCGGUUCAGAAUGCUGAGAUUUUCUCUUGGACAUUGUUGUCUUUAAAUUUAUUUUCCUUUUCCUUUUGUGGUAUUAUCUAGCUGUUUAAGCUAGAAUUUAUUUCUUUUCUUUAUGUUGGAAGGGUUUCUUUUGCUCCCCUGCAUUUAAUAAGUUUUUAUUGAUUAAUUUCUAUUGAUUUGAUUUAUUCUGUUUUGUAUUACAAUUACAGGAGCUGUGUGUCCGACGGCAGUGAGGCUUUCCUUCACCGUGUGCUGUGUUAUGCUGUGUGAGCACCACUGAUAAAAUCACGGGUAUUGGAGUGAGUGUGUGUGUGUGUGUGUGCACUUAGUGUGAUUCUCCUCUUUUGCUCCCUCUCUUAGCCCAUUUGAUGCCAAUAGGCUACAGCUCCGAAGUAAAUGUGAAUCCUUAUUGUGGAUUGUGAUUUCCAGCUUAGUAAUUGGCUGGGUGACUAUUAUUCCUGCAUUUUAAACUUUUGUACUAAUAAACAAACUCUAUUUUGCUACCCACGUCUCUUGCUCAUUUUAUUCAGUGGAAUGAACCUGGGUUCCUUAUAACAUUUUAAGUGAACUGUGAUUCCCUGGUAUAGUCCCAGGGUGGCGUAGUCUAUUGUAUAUCUCUUGAGUGUUGAAUAUUGCUGCAAAAAGACCACUUUGCCACACAUACAAUUAACUGUACUUUCACAUCCAAAACAGCAAACAUACACCCAACUUUUCACCUUUAUCCCCUUGAUCUCCUUUGAUUCCUUGUGGUCCCGGUGGCCCAACUUGUCCAACAUCCCCCUUUACACACAGGGGAUAACCUAGCUUCAAUAUCUCUGCUUAAGACUGUUUGAAAUAAUAUGAAACCAACCAACAACCAAUAUUGACAGGUGUCCUCAAACUCAGUUUGGUUUAUCUAGAAGCAUCACUUAAAAACUUCUAAUGAAAUGCACCAUUUGUAUAGAUUUUACCCCUGGAGUGUUUUGGAACUUGCAACAAAACUUUGCAAUCUAUAAAACUGUAUUUUUUCCUUUGUGUGUUCACUGACAAGCAGACCCGGGGGAGCUCUUAGUUUCAUAUUGGUGCUCAUGGCAGUAAUUAACCGUGUUUAAGUUGUCCAAGUGCUGGUUUUCAUAGUUGCAGCUGAGGAAAACCCAAGGGGAAAUAAUUCAGAUUUCAUUCAUGAGCUGGGUUGUAAAACACAAAGGUGACCUGGCUUUGGUGCUGAAAGUUGUUCACAUAUUUAUUGAUUAUCUUACCCUAGCACCCUUUUUCCCAGGAGGACCAAGUAUCUGUGAAAUGUGAGGGGAAUUAUUAGCAAUACUCUAUUCUUAACCAAAAACAUGUUAGACGAGAAACUGAGGAAUUCUGGGACAUCAGUUUUACCCCUUUAGCUGGGUCACCAGGAGGACCACGCUGCCCCUGUGAAUCAAACACAGAAAUACAAAUCCCACAUUGUUUAAUUGUAGACAGCUGUAAGCGCUGAUGUGAUAAACUGCAUAAAUUACCAUGCAUUAAUUGACUACAUAUAAUCGACGCUCAAUGUGAAAUCACAUAAAUUUACAUUACAGGGCAAAUAAAUGGUAGGUUCUGAAACAUUGGCUGAUUGCAUUGCUGUAUGUUUGAUUAUAUACACUUAUUAGUUUUCAAGUGUAGUUGAAAUAAAUUAAACUCAUUAUUUAGAAGGAGAUGUCCACAAAGUUUGGGCAGUGUAGUUAAUUAGAAGUUCUAAAUUUGGUUAAAUGAAGAAAAUAGUUUAGAUUCACCUCAUCACCCUUUCGUCCAGCAGCUUCAGGG
Long non-coding RNA from Cyprinus carpio carpio, 2436 nucleotides. The record is from Ensembl. Lineage: Eukaryota; Metazoa; Chordata; Actinopteri; Cypriniformes; Cyprinidae.